This is a long non-coding RNA of Acanthopagrus latus (yellowfin seabream), 582 nucleotides long. RefSeq lists it as uncharacterized. The record is from RefSeq and is a predicted model, not a curated record. Lineage: Eukaryota; Metazoa; Chordata; Actinopteri; Spariformes; Sparidae. The transcript is spliced from 4 exons.
ACUUGUGUUUCCCCCCUCGGCUCUUUGUUGAGGCUUCAUCCUGGGUCCACUGCUAUCCUGUGGAUUUUCUUCAUAUCCAUAUCUAUUUUUGUUGCCUGCCUUUUUGUUUAUCACAUUUUCGGAUUAUUGGACUGUUUUCUCUGCUUUCAUUAAGCUUUUGGUGGUGGACCUGCGUGCCCUCUUGUUCUCAUUUGGAUCCUGUUUUUGAAAACCUGACAUGUACAAGCUCAAGAAAAGAUCAAUACCGGCUGUCCGUGACCAGACUUCAAACUGUGGAGAGACACAAGGAAGGAGCUGAUAAGAUGGGAAAAGUCACUGGGGACAAGGCAGGCCUAAUGAGGCUGAUGCAGGACAGGCGCGGAGGAGAAUCAGGCUGCACAGCGACACAGGAGGGAAACAGAGCACCGGAAACACAGGCGAAGCAAAUUGCAACAGAAAGGCAGCAAAAGCAGAACUGUAAACAAGCUAUUGAUGGCUGAGGUAGAUUUCUACAGGAGGUCUGCAUAUUUUGCCAAAGAGAAUAAAGUAUUGUUUUUCUUUCUUUUUUCAUUACCAUAAAAUAUUUUAUUCAACCGGCGUUCA